UUAAGCGACUAAGCGUACACGGUGGAUGCCCUGGCAGUCAGAGGCGAUGAAGGACGUGCUAAUCUGCGAUAAGCGUCGGUAAGGUGAUAUGAACCGUUAUAACCGGCGAUUUCCGAAUGGGGAAACCCAGUGUGUUUCGUCACACUAUCAUUAACUGAAUCCAUAGGUUAAUGAGGCGAACCGGGGGAACUGAAACAUCUAAGUACCCCGAGGAAAAGAAAUCAACCGAGAUUCCCCCAGUAGCGGCGAGCGAACGGGGAGGAGCCCAGAGCCUGAAUCAGUGUGUGUGUUAGUGGAAGCGUCUGGAAAGGCGCGCGAUACAGGGUGACAGCCCCGUACACAAAAAUGCACAUACUGUGAGCUCGAUGAGUAGGGCGGGACACGUGGUAUCCUGUCUGAAUAUGGGGGGACCAUCCUCCAAGGCUAAAUACUCCUGACUGACCGAUAGUGAACCAGUACCGUGAGGGAAAGGCGAAAAGAACCCCGGCGAGGGGAGUGAAAAAGAACCUGAAACCGUGUACGUACAAGCAGUGGGAGCCUCUUAAUGGGGUGACUGCGUACCUUUUGUAUAAUGGGUCAGCGACUUAUAUUCUGUAGCAAGGUUAACCGAAUAGGGGAGCCGAAGGGAAACCGAGUCUUAACUGGGCGUUAAGUUGCAGGGUAUAGACCCGAAACCCGGUGAUCUAGCCAUGGGCAGGUUGAAGGUUGGGUAACACUAACUGGAGGACCGAACCGACUAAUGUUGAAAAAUUAGCGGAUGACUUGUGGCUGGGGGGGAAAGGCCAAUCAAACCGGGAGAUAGCUGGUUCUCCCCGAAAGCUAUUUAGGUAGCGCCUCGUGAAUUCAUCUCCGGGGGUAGAGCACUGUUUCGGCAAGGGGGUCAUCCCGACUUACCAACCCGAUGCAAACUGCGAAUACCGGAGAAUGUUAUCACGGGAGACACACGGCGGGUGCUAACGUCCGUCGUGAAGAGGGAAACAACCCAGACCGCCAGCUAAGGUCCCAAAGUCAUGGUUAAGUGGGAAACGAUGUGGGAAGGCCCAGACAGCCAGGAUGUUGGCUUAGAAGCAGCCAUCAUUUAAAGAAAGCGUAAUAGCUCACUGGUCGAGUCGGCCUGCGCGGAAGAUGUAACGGGGCUAAACCAUGCACCGAAGCUGCGGCAGCGACGCUUAUGCGUUGUUGGGUAGGGGAGCGUUCUGUAAGCCUGUGAAGGUGGCCUGUGAGGGUUGCUGGAGGUAUCAGAAGUGCGAAUGCUGACAUAAGUAACGAUAAAGCGGGUGAAAAGCCCGCUCGCCGGAAGACCAAGGGUUCCUGUCCAACGUUAAUCGGGGCAGGGUGAGUCGACCCCUAAGGCGAGGCCGAAAGGCGUAGUCGAUGGGAAACAGGUUAAUAUUCCUGUACUUGGUGUUACUGCGAAGGGGGGACGGAGAAGGCUAUGUUGGCCGGGCGACGGUUGUCCCGGUUUAAGCGUGUAGGCUGGUUUUCCAGGCAAAUCCGGAAAAUCAAGGCUGAGGCGUGAUGACGAGGUACUACGGUGCUGAAGCAACAAAUGCCCUGCUUCCAGGAAAAGCCUCUAAGCAUCAGGUAACAUCAAAUCGUACCCCAAACCGACACAGGUGGUCAGGUAGAGAAUACCAAGGCGCUUGAGAGAACUCGGGUGAAGGAACUAGGCAAAAUGGUGCCGUAACUUCGGGAGAAGGCACGCUGAUAUGUAGGUGAAGCGACUUGCUCGUGGAGCUGAAAUCAGUCGAAGAUACCAGCUGGCUGCAACUGUUUAUUAAAAACACAGCACUGUGCAAACACGAAAGUGGACGUAUACGGUGUGACGCCUGCCCGGUGCCGGAAGGUUAAUUGAUGGGGUUAGCGGUAACGCGAAGCUCUUGAUCGAAGCCCCGGUAAACGGCGGCCGUAACUAUAACGGUCCUAAGGUAGCGAAAUUCCUUGUCGGGUAAGUUCCGACCUGCACGAAUGGCGUAAUGAUGGCCAGGCUGUCUCCACCCGAGACUCAGUGAAAUUGAACUCGCUGUGAAGAUGCAGUGUACCCGCGGCAAGACGGAAAGACCCCGUGAACCUUUACUAUAGCUUGACACUGAACAUUGAGCCUUGAUGUGUAGGAUAGGUGGGAGGCUUUGAAGUGUGGACGCCAGUCUGCAUGGAGCCGACCUUGAAAUACCACCCUUUAAUGUUUGAUGUUCUAACGUGGGCCCCUUACCGGGGUUGCGGACAGUGUCUGGUGGGUAGUUUGACUGGGGCGGUCUCCUCCUAAAGAGUAACGGAGGAGCACGAAGGUUGGCUAAUCCUGGUCGGACAUCAGGAGGUUAGUGCAAUGGCAUAAGCCAGCUUGACUGCGAGCGUGACGGCGCGAGCAGGUGCGAAAGCAGGUCAUAGUGAUCCGGUGGUUCUGAAUGGAAGGGCCAUCGCUCAACGGAUAAAAGGUACUCCGGGGAUAACAGGCUGAUACCGCCCAAGAGUUCAUAUCGACGGCGGUGUUUGGCACCUCGAUGUCGGCUCAUCACAUCCUGGGGCUGAAGUAGGUCCCAAGGGUAUGGCUGUUCGCCAUUUAAAGUGGUACGCGAGCUGGGUUUAGAACGUCGUGAGACAGUUCGGUCCCUAUCUGCCGUGGGCGCUGGAGAACUGAGGGGGGCUGCUCCUAGUACGAGAGGACCGGAGUGGACGCAUCACUGGUGUUCGGGUUGUCAUGCCAAUGGCACUGCCCGGUAGCUAAAUGCGGAAGAGAUAAGUGCUGAAAGCAUCUAAGCACGAAACUUGCCCCGAGAUGAGUUCUCCCUGACUCCUUGAGAGUCCUGAAGGAACGUUGAAGACGACGACGUUGAUAGGCCGGGUGUGUAAGCGCAGCGAUGCGUUGAGCUAACCGGUACUAAUGAACCGUGAGGCUUAACCUU
This 2903-nucleotide ribosomal RNA is filed under the name Escherichia coli HVH 108 (4-6924867). RNAcentral's name for it is "bacterial LSU rRNA". It matches the Rfam family "Bacterial large subunit ribosomal RNA". Lineage: Bacteria; Pseudomonadati; Pseudomonadota; Gammaproteobacteria; Enterobacterales; Enterobacteriaceae. The record is from RNAcentral.